AUUGAACGCUAGCGGCAGGCCUAACACAUGCAAGUCGAACGAGCGGCGGACGGGUGAGUAAUGUAUGGGGACUGCCCGAUAGAGGGGGAUAAAUACAGGAAACGGUAGCUAAUACCGCAUACUAUCGGAUCACCCAUAUGGGCUUAGCUAGUAGGUGAGGUAAUGGCUCCCCUGGGCGACGAUCCAUAGCUGGGCUGAGAGGAUGAUCAGCCACACUCGGCCUGAGACACUGCCCAGACUCCUACGGAGGAAGCAGCGGGGAAUAUUGCACAAUGGGCGCAAGCCUGAUGCAGCCAUGCCGCGUGUAUGAAGAAGGCCCUAGGGUUGUAAAGUACUUUCAGUCGGGAGGCGUUACCGACAGAAGAAGCACCGGCUAACUCCGUGCCAGCAGCCGCGGUAAUUC
Molecule: ribosomal RNA, 403 nt
Filed under: uncultured bacterium
Lineage: Bacteria
Description: partial 16S ribosomal RNA
Rfam family: Bacterial small subunit ribosomal RNA
Source: RNAcentral